RNAcentral lists this ribosomal RNA (460 nucleotides) under uncultured bacterium. Its description in RNAcentral is "partial 16S ribosomal RNA". It matches the Rfam family "Bacterial small subunit ribosomal RNA", at positions 338 to 795 of the family's 1533-position model. The record is from RNAcentral.
CCUACGGGUGGCAGCAGUGAGGAAUAUUUGUCAAUGGACGAGAGUCUGAACCAGCCACGUCGCGUGAAGGAUGACUGCCCUAUGGGUUGUAAACUUCUUUUAUAUGGGAAUAAAAUGUUCCACGUGUGGGAUUUUGUAUGUACCAUAUGAAUAAGGAUCGGCUAACUCCGUGCCAGCAGCCGCGGUAAUACGGAGGAUCCGAGCGUUAUCCGGAUUUAUUGGGUUUAAAGGGAGCGUAGGUGGAUUGUUAAGUCAGUUGUGAAAGUUUGCGGCUCAACCGUAGAAUUGCAGUUGAAACUGGCAGUCUUGAGUACAGUAGAGGUGGGCGGAAUUCGUGGUGUAGCGGUGAAAUGCUUAGAUAUCACGAAGAACUCCGAUUGCGAAGGCAGUUCACUGGACUGCAACUGACGCUGAGGCUCGAAAGUGUGGGUAUCAAACAGGAUUAGAUACCCUAGUAGUC